This 225-nucleotide long non-coding RNA is filed under the name Nicotiana benthamiana. Its description in RNAcentral is "long non-coding RNA (NBEN_LNC012982)". Lineage: Eukaryota; Viridiplantae; Streptophyta; Magnoliopsida; Solanales; Solanaceae. The record is from RNAcentral.
UUUACCAAAAAAAAAAUUCUGAACAAAUUUUGAGGGUUUUUGGACUGUUUCUUCGUUUUUUGUUUUGAGGAAGCAGGAGACAACUUGGGUUUUUUAAAUGUUGGAAUAAGGGACAUCUUCAGCAAAGUCGUCAUCUACACAUACCUCUUUGUCCCUUUCUUUUGAGUUGUUUGCCGCCUGAUGUAGCACUUCCUCCAGCAUCUACAUCGUGCAUUUGCUUUGUUC